Non-coding RNA from Phrynosoma platyrhinos (Desert horned lizard), 72 nucleotides. The record is from the annotation of a GenBank genome assembly. NCBI's taxonomy places the organism in Eukaryota, Metazoa, Chordata, Lepidosauria, Squamata, Phrynosomatidae.
GUCAGUGUGGUAUUGUGGUUUGAACAAUGGACUAUGACUCUGGAGACCAAGGUUCAAAUCCCUGCUCGGCCA